GAUGAAGAACGUAGCGAAAUGCGAUAAGUAAUGUGAAUUGCAGAAUUCAGUGAAUCAUCGAAUCUUUGAUCGCACCUUGCGCCCUUUGGCCAUUCCGAAGGGCAUGCCUGUUUGAGUAUCAUGAACACCUCAACUCUUUAUGGUUUUCCAUGAUGAGCUUGGACUUUGGGGGUUUUGCUGGCCUAUGGUCGGCUCCUCUAAAAUAAAUCAGCUUACCGGUGUUUGGUGGGUAUCAUGGGUGUGAUAACUAUCUACGCUUGUGGUUUUUCCACCAGGUAACCUUCGACAGCGGAGGUUCACUGGAGCUCAUAGAUGUCUCUCCUCAGCGAGGACAGCCCUUUGAAUGUUUGAUCUCAAAUCAGGUAGGACUACCCGCUGAACUUAAGCAUAUCAAUAAGCGGAGGA
This 405-nucleotide unclassified non-coding RNA is filed under the name soil metagenome. RNAcentral describes it as "partial contains 5.8S ribosomal RNA, internal transcribed spacer 2, and large subunit ribosomal RNA". The stretch from base 1 to 121 matches the Rfam family "5.8S ribosomal RNA", at positions 35 to 154 of the family's 154-position model. The record is from RNAcentral.